This 918-nucleotide ribosomal RNA is filed under the name Leptospora clematidis. RNAcentral describes it as "SSU rRNA". It matches the Rfam family "Eukaryotic small subunit ribosomal RNA", at positions 153 to 1081 of the family's 1831-position model. The record is from RNAcentral. Lineage: Eukaryota; Fungi; Ascomycota; Dothideomycetes.
UAAUUCUAGAGCUAAUACAUGCUGAAAACCCCAAAUUCGGGAGGGGUGUAUUUAUUAGAUAAAAAACCAACGCCCUUCGGGGCUUUUUGGUGAUUCAUGAUAACUUUACGGAUCGCAUGGCCUUGCGCCGGCGACGGUUCAUUCAAAUUUCUGCCCUAUCAACUUUCGAUGGUAAGGUAUUGGCUUACCAUGGUUUCAACGGGUAACGGGGAAUUAGGGUUCGAUUCCGGAGAGGGAGCCUGAGAAACGGCUACCACAUCCAAGGAAGGCAGCAGGCGCGCAAAUUACCCAAUCCCGACACGGGGAGGUAGUGACAAUAAAUACUGAUACAGGGCUCUUUUGGGUCUUGUAAUUGGAAUGAGUACAAUUUAAACCUCUUAACGAGGAACAAUUGGAGGGCAAGUCUGGUGCCAGCAGCCGCGGUAAUUCCAGCUCCAAUAGCGUAUAUUAAAGUUGUUGCAGUUAAAAAGCUCGUAGUUGAACCUUGGGCCUGGCUGGCAGGUCCGCCUCACCGCGUGUACUUGUCCGGCCGGGCCUUCCUUCUGGAGAACCUCAUGCCCUUCACUGGGCGUGUUGGGGACCAGGACUUUUACUUUGAAAAAAUUAGAGUGUUCAAAGCAGGCCUUUGCUCGAAUACGUUAGCAUGGAAUAAUAGAAUAGGACGUGCGGUCCUAUUUUGUUGGUUUCUAGGACCGCCGUAAUGAUUAAUAGGGACAGUCGGGGGCAUCAGUAUUCAAUUGUCAGAGGUGAAAUUCUUGGAUUUAUUGAAGACUAACUACUGCGAAAGCAUUUGCCAAGGAUGUUUUCAUUAAUCAGUGAACGAAAGUUAGGGGAUCGAAGACGAUCAGAUACCGUCGUAGUCUUAACCGUAAACUAUGCCGACUAGGGAUCGGGCGAUGUUCUUUUUCUGACUCGCUC